This 253-nucleotide ribosomal RNA is filed under the name uncultured bacterium. RNAcentral's name for it is "partial 16S ribosomal RNA". It matches the Rfam family "Bacterial small subunit ribosomal RNA", at positions 524 to 776 of the family's 1533-position model. The record is from RNAcentral.
GACGUAGGGCGCGAGCGUUGUCCGGAUUUAUUGGGCGUAAAGAGCUCGUAGGCGGCUUGUCGCGUCGACUGUGAAAUCCCGCGGCUCAACCGCGGGUCUGCAGUCGAUACGGGCAGGCUAGAGUUCGGUAGGGGAGACUGGAAUUCCUGGUGUAGCGGUGAAAUGCGCAGAUAUCAGGAGGAACACCGAUGGCGAAGGCAGGUCUCUGGGCCGAUACUGACGCUGAGGCACGAAAGCGUGGGGAGCAAACAGG